RNAcentral lists this ribosomal RNA (403 nucleotides) under uncultured bacterium. RNAcentral describes it as "partial 16S ribosomal RNA". It matches the Rfam family "Bacterial small subunit ribosomal RNA", at positions 30 to 526 of the family's 1533-position model. The record is from RNAcentral.
AUUGAACGCUGGCGGCAGGCCUAACACAUGCAAGUCGAGCGAGCGGCGGACGGGUGAGUAAUGUAUGGGGACUGCCCGAUAGCGGGGGAUAACUACUGGAAACGGUGGCUAAUACCGAAUACCAUCCGAUAACCCAUAUGGGAUUAGCUAGUAGGUAAGGUAAAGGCUCACCUAGGCGACGAUCCCUAGUUGGUCUGAGAGGAUGAUCAGCCACACUGGAAGUGAGACACGGCCCAGACUCCUACGGAGGCAGCAGUGGGGAAUAUUGCACAAUGGGCGCAAGCCUGAUGCAGCAAUGCCGCGUGUAUGAAGAAGGCCUUAGGGUUGUAAAGUACUUUCAGCGGGGAGGCGUUACCCACAGAAGAAGCAACGGCUAACUCCGUGCCAGCAGCCGCGGUAAUAC